UUGACUAAUGAAUGAUUGAUUAUCGCAGCGUCAACCAUUGGAGUUAGCCCGGUAUCUAUCCCUGGCAUAUCCAGUUUGCCUCAGAGUGACGGGCUUGCAGGACCAGCCACUAAGACUGAUUCUCAUAUGACUCCUGGCAUCCCUCAAAUGCCUACGGAUGAUGGAUCUGCAGGACCAGCCGCUUGGGCCGAUACUCUCAUGACUCUUGGCAUCCUGGCUGCAUCUGAGGACGGGGGGAUUGCAGG
Molecule: long non-coding RNA, 245 nt
Organism: Asparagus officinalis (garden asparagus)
Lineage: Eukaryota; Viridiplantae; Streptophyta; Magnoliopsida; Asparagales; Asparagaceae
Exons: 3
Source: RefSeq, a predicted model, not a curated record